AAAUAAAAUAAAAAAACGAAACUGAAACGUGAAAUGUUACAUUUGUUGGACUUGUUCGAGUUUCGUUUGCGUUCGUGGGUUUGUUUUGCUUCUUUUGAUUAGUUUUGGAUUUCUGAUUUUUUUUUAAA
Molecule: non-coding RNA, 128 nt
Filed under: Platyophrya macrostoma
Lineage: Eukaryota; Ciliophora; Colpodea; Cyrtolophosidida; Platyophryidae
Source: RNAcentral